AUACGGAGGGGGCAAGCGUUGUUCGGAAUUACUGGGCGUAAAGGGCGCGUAGGCGGAUCGUCACGUCAGAGGUGAAAGGCCUGGGCUCAACCUGGGAACUGCCUUUGAAACUGAUGGUCUAGAGUCCGGAAGAGGAUGGCGGAAUUCCCAGUGUAGAGGUGAAAUUCGUAGAUAUUGGGAAGAACACCAGUGGCGAAGGCGGCCAUCUGGUCCGGUACUGACGCUGAGGCGCGAAAGCGUGGGGAGCAAACAGGAUUAGAAACCCUGGUAGUCC
This 274-nucleotide ribosomal RNA is filed under the name uncultured bacterium. RNAcentral describes it as "partial 16S ribosomal RNA". It matches the Rfam family "Bacterial small subunit ribosomal RNA", at positions 523 to 796 of the family's 1533-position model. The record is from RNAcentral.